Molecule: non-coding RNA, 1789 nt
Organism: Misgurnus anguillicaudatus (oriental weatherfish)
Lineage: Eukaryota; Metazoa; Chordata; Actinopteri; Cypriniformes; Cobitidae
Source: RefSeq, a predicted model, not a curated record
AGGUCAAUAUGGGUGUCUGUCAGCUGCUGGGAAUCAAAAGGAGUUUGUGUGCACCAUACCACCCACAUACCAAUGGUCUAGUUGAAAGUCUGAAUGGCACAAUACAGAGGUCAUUAAGCAAGCUGGUGUGAAAGCAGCCACACAAGUGGGCUGAUUAUUUGGAGGGCACAAUGUUUGGUCUCCGCACCAAAAAACAAGUCACUACCAAGUAUUCUCCAUAUUACUUGAUGUUUGGCUGGGAGGCAAGGUAUCCAUCCGAGGUACCUGACAAAUAUGAGGCCAGUUUUUAACUUUGCUUUGUUUUACUUUUAAUUUAAGACUGAACUAUGCAACAUUUUAUUUAUAGAUCAAUGAAUCUGUGGAGGACAUUCUGUCUGAGGAGUGCAUCUCUGAAUGCAUUAAAAGGCAAGACCGGAUGUUCCAAACAGUCUGGGACAAUAUUAGUUGUCCCCAACAGAAGGACAUCAAAAGGAAGCUGGAACAGGGAUUGUCUUUAGACAUUAAGGUUGGUGACAGGGUUUUGCGGAGAAAUAUACGGAGCAGGCAGAGGAAGGAAGGCAAACUGGACCCAGACUUCAUUGGUCCAUACACUGUGACGAGUGGAGACGGUAAGUCUGUAGAUUUAAGGGUUGACAAAGGACAACCAUUUCCCAAAAUAAACAAGGACCAUUUAGUUCACUUUUUGGAGGAACAGGCUUGUCCUGCCACCCAGCCACCUGUCCGUGCCUCGACCUCCCAGCCAAACAAUCUGUAUGUAUUGUUCUGCUGACAUGCAUGUACAUCUUUAUAUGAAUGAAAGAAAUGUUAUUUUUAAUGUAGACAAAUGGAUUGGAAAUUAAUGUUUCUCUCACACACAGUAUUGCAAAAAAUAUGGGCCAAAAGAAAAGGUGGAGUAUUGUGCAGUAGAAUUGGCCCAUACAAAAUGUUCACAUGGGAUGUCAAUCGCCUCAGACCUGGAGAAAGGCUUGAAAGUGAAGUAAUCAAUGCAUAUCUGACUUUGCUGACCAAAAACUAUGCAGGCAAGGCAUAUGUCAUUGAUUCCUUUCUGGCGACAAACAUCUGGAAGGGCAAUGGCAGUUCUAUGAAGAGGAUAAAAAUUUCUGAAUUCUGCAAUUAAAUCUUUCAUGUCAUCAGAGAUCUAGUAUAAUGAAGUGUAACAGUAUUUUUAUGUAUCUGUACUGCAGCUGAAUCCAGAUGAAUAUAAUGUACUGAUUGGAUCCAUUAACACUCUGAGGUCUACUGCGGCGCCACAAACUCUUUAUUUUUCAAUCACUCCGUAAAGAGACUUAAAUUACUCUGCUGAUUUUGGACAUACAGAUAUGAUUUAUACAUCAUUUAAAACGUUAAAGUGUCUAUUUUUGUUCUGUCCACAACUAAUAAAAACAGAAUGUUGUGCUUUUCACAAGAUUAAGAAAAUAAAUAUGAUGCGCGUUUUGUUCUCUCUCCCUUGGUGAAGUCCUUUCUGAAACGCAUCAGAAAAAUGAACUGUAACUUAACAAAUACAUGUCAUAGAAACAAAAGAUAAAUGUCUACAAAAUGCUUGGAAUGUAUGUUUUUAAAUGAUGUAAGUGAGAUCGAAAAAAGAUAUUGUCAUUCAGUGUUAACUGUAUGAGAAGGAGGAGAGGUACCGUAUUUCCCCUGUUACAUGUUUAUCUGUAAUGAGAUGAGAUCACCACACCCCCGCGCCAUUGAAGUGAAUGAGCAGAAGCAUCCAUAUGCAUAACUUGUGCCUCCUGCAGUCAAUGGAUACGCAAAUCACAAUCCAGUCUCUCCAUUACUUGUUGUUUCA